This 1329-nucleotide long non-coding RNA is filed under the name Elaeis guineensis (African oil palm). RNAcentral's name for it is "long non-coding RNA (EGUI_LNC080912)". The record is from RNAcentral. Lineage: Eukaryota; Viridiplantae; Streptophyta; Magnoliopsida; Arecales; Arecaceae.
GGAGCGGACCGCGCGUAUCAGAGCGUAUCUAAAGCGAGAUCCACCGCGAGAACAGGUUUCGGUACGGUCCGAACAAAUCGGUCUAAGGACGGCUGCGAUGCGUCGAUCACAACGUUGUAAUCGUAUCUUUUAUUGCUUUCCCUUCUCCCUCUCGGCAUUCUCGACGCCUCCUCUUGCCUCUUGUUUAGUUCGAGUUUCGUUUCUAAACCCUACUUUUCUCAUCGAUUCAGUCCCUAUAGAAGCAAUCGACUUUUUGGGGUUUGCUUCAAAUCUUGGACCUUUUUUUUUUUGGUUUGAAGAACUUGGUGGUUUUUUUCCUAUAUUAUUAGUUUAUAUUCGCUGAUUUCUUGUUUUGAGAUUAAAUCUUUGAUUUCUUUGGGUGAUGAUAAGCCCUAGAAUCUCUUUUUAUGUAUUCUUUAUGUGUUCUGAUUUCUUGUUUUGAGUCUAUGAUUUCCGUUAUGUACUCAAAGUAAGAAUGUGUGACGACAAAUAUUUAUAUCCUUUUGUUUCUAUAGGCUCGGGUUUGUCUCACAUUCUCUUUCUCCUUCAUGAUCAUGCUCCCCUUUUUAUCGCUUAAGAGUUGCUUGGGCCUUUGAUUGGAUUAUGUUAAUUUAAUGGAAUUUAAGUACGUGAUAUUGUAGAAUUCAAAGUUCUAAGAAAUCACAAUCUGUAUACUUAGUAUGCGCAGUCGUAUGAACAAUAAACAGACGAACAAGCAAUCUGAAUAUUCCUUAUAUUCCUAAUAGGUGUUUAAAUUUUUAUUGGAUAAACACACUUAGGAGAUCAGUGCGUAUUCCUUGUAAUGCAUUUCUUCUUCUGCUCACUUGUAGUGGGGACUUUGUGAUAACAUUGAAAAGGCAACUUUGUGAUAAGUUAGAUAUUUAUUGCAGGGAGUUCUUGAAUUAUAAUGAGCAUGCAAUUAAAUUUGUAGGCCAUGACAUAAGGGAUCGUCUGUAGAAAUAUAAGUAGUAGGCUCAAUAGAAAUGUGGAUCUAAUACUUAAUUCACAAGUUGAGGUAAUCUCGAUUGAUAAAAGUUUGGUCAAAUAUGAGCGUUUUAAUGACUCUGUAGAGUGGAUUUAGUUUCUAUCUGGGUGUCAUUUAUUAAAUAUUAUCUUCAAGGAAGGAAAGAAGGAUAAUGGUUCCAUCAAGUGUAAAUUUGUCUUAAAACAUUGGGAAAUACAUAUGGAUGUGCCUGAGGGAGAAGGACAUCAAUUAUGUCAAAGGUAAAACCUGAAGGAGGAAAUCUAGUACCAUGAGCUAUUAAUGGAAGGAAAGCACUAUGGAAUCAAUCGGGGGAAGAUAGGGAAAAUGCAGUUUUUUUUUUUUUU